Molecule: ribosomal RNA, 468 nt
Filed under: uncultured bacterium
Lineage: Bacteria
Description: partial 16S ribosomal RNA
Rfam family: Bacterial small subunit ribosomal RNA
Source: RNAcentral
GACGAACGCUGGCGGCGUGCUUAACACAUGCAAGUCGAACGGAAAGGCCCUGCUUUUGUGGGGUGCUCGAGUUGCGAACGGGGUAGUAACACGUGAGUAACCUGCCCUGGACUUUGGGAUAACUUCAGGAAACUGGGGCUAAUACUGGAUAGGAGCUCUUGCUGCAUGGUUGGGGUUGGAAAGGUUCGGCGGUUGGGUAUGUGCUCGCGGCUUAUCAGCUUGUUGGUGGGGUAGUGGCUUACCAAGGCUUUGACGGGUAGCGGGCCUGAGAGGGUGACCGGCCACAUUGGGACUGAGAUACGGCCCAGAGUACUACGGGAGGCAGCAGUGGGGAAUAUUGCACAAUGGGCGGAAGCCUGAUGCAGCAACGCCGCGUGCGGGAUGACGGCCUUCGGGUUGUAAGCCGCUUUCGCCUGUGACGAAGCGUGAGUGACGGUAAUGGGUAAAGAAGCACCGGCUAACUACGUG